RNAcentral lists this small RNA (36 nucleotides) under Arabidopsis thaliana (thale cress). RNAcentral describes it as "ATSL286690". Lineage: Eukaryota; Viridiplantae; Streptophyta; Magnoliopsida; Brassicales; Brassicaceae. The record is from RNAcentral.
CAUGGCUUCUUCUUCUUCUUCAUCUUCUUCGUCUCA